Molecule: non-coding RNA, 97 nt
Organism: Picea glauca (white spruce)
Lineage: Eukaryota; Viridiplantae; Streptophyta; Pinopsida; Pinales; Pinaceae
Source: Rfam
CCGACUUUAGCUCAGUUGGUAGAGCGGAGGACUGUAGUGGGAUAUAAAAUCCUGGUUUGUAAUCCUUAGGUCGCUGGUUCGAAUCCGGCAAGUCGGA